This 252-nucleotide ribosomal RNA is filed under the name uncultured bacterium. RNAcentral describes it as "partial 16S ribosomal RNA". It matches the Rfam family "Bacterial small subunit ribosomal RNA", at positions 524 to 776 of the family's 1533-position model. The record is from RNAcentral.
UACGUAGGGUGCGAGCGUUGUCCGGAAUUAUUGGGCGUAAAGGGCUCGUAGGCGGUCUGUUGCGUCGGGAGUGAAAACUCAGGGCUUAACCCUGAGCCUGCUUCCGAUACGGGCAGACUAGAGGUAUGCAGGGGAGAACGGAAUUCCUGGUGUAGCGGUGAAAUGCGCAGAUAUCAGGAGGAACACCGGUGGCGAAGGCGGUUCUCUGGGCAUUACCUGACGCUGAGGAGCGAAAGUGUGGGAGCGAACAGG